AUUAAUAAGCGGAGGAAAAGAAACUAACGAGGAUUCCCUCAGUAACGGCGAGUGAAGCGGGAUAAGCCCAGCACCGAAUCCUCCGCCGUAACGGCGGCUGGAAUUGUGGUGUUUAGGACAGCUCACGGCGUACGAUCGGCGGUCCGAGUUCCUCUGAUCGGGGCUUCAUCCAUAGCGGGUGUCAGGCCUCUACGGCCGCUAGUCGUGCGUCGAGAGUAGUCCCGGGAGUCGGGUUGUUUGAGAUUGCAGCCCAAAGCGGGUGGUAAACUCCAUCUAAGGCUAAAUACAGACACGAGUCCGAUAGCGCACAAGUACCGUGAGGGAAAGUU
This 329-nucleotide ribosomal RNA is filed under the name Marionina sublitoralis. RNAcentral's name for it is "eukaryotic LSU rRNA". It matches the Rfam family "Eukaryotic large subunit ribosomal RNA", at positions 42 to 365 of the family's 3401-position model. The record is from RNAcentral. Lineage: Eukaryota; Metazoa; Annelida; Clitellata; Enchytraeida; Enchytraeidae.